Oncorhynchus tshawytscha (Chinook salmon) is the source of this 2848-nucleotide long non-coding RNA. RefSeq lists it as uncharacterized. The record is from RefSeq and is a predicted model, not a curated record. The transcript has 3 exons. Lineage: Eukaryota; Metazoa; Chordata; Actinopteri; Salmoniformes; Salmonidae.
GAUAACAUUUGCUUUGGGUCAAAGCUAAUUGUAGAUUGCAGUAUGGAUGGUUGAAGCAGAACAGUGUGCAUUGACAGUCCUUCCUCCUCUGUUUGUCAUCUAUUUAUAAUAUAAUCUUUGAACAACAAUAGCUCAUAUAAUUUAUCUUUAUUAUAAUUGGAUUGUGACAUUCAGAACAACAAGAGCAACACUGAAGCAUCCAUUUUGGUGACUGGUUUAAGAAGCCCAUGACAAGGCACCCACACCUGGAUAUUUGCUUAUCUUUUCAACGGGGGACAAACAGACAACAGACAUUUCACUUGAGCCAGUCCCUGUUAUGGAGUCUUCAAAAAGUGGACCAGCAUGUGGAGUCUUUGAAAAAGGCUUCAUCCACAUUGUUAGUCACACUGUGUUGUAUGCUGGAAACUCUGAAAGUAAUAGAAAAUAAUGGCCUAAAUGGUCUCACUCUAUUCUUUCUUUCUCCCCCUCUGGGUUCUAGUCUAGUGAGAAGAUGAUGUGUUCUCCUAUGAAAGCUCAGAUCUGGACUGGUGUGAGGCGAACUACAGGCACUCUGAAGUACACUAUGAGCAGUCUGUUUGUCUUCGUGAUCUCCCCCAUCAUGCUGUACCUGCUGCACACUUACGCCAGGGAAGUACCUGUACCUGGUCUGGAUCAUGAUGGUCUUUGUGGGUGUGUGUCCACUCUUCUCUCCAAACACCAGGACAACCUUCAUGAAGUUAUAACUCCACUCCCAAGGUGCCCUCAUCGGUCUGCUUUAGAUACUGGGUAGGGCCGGGCCUAGGGGCCAUUUAGGAAUUGGGCAUCAAUGUGUGUCCCCUCCCUAAAGGUCUCUUCUCUGCCUACUUCCACAUGACCCUGAGCUUCAUGGCCAGAUGCUGGAUGAGCAGUCCAUCCUGUGGGUGCUGGGGCUCUGCUGGGGCUCUGCUACGCCCUCUGGUAUUCCCAUGCUUCAUCAAUGACAGAUUGGCCACCAUAACACCUGCUCAAGGCUUCUGCAGCCAAAUCAUUAUCUGUGAAUACUGGAAGUAGCAUAUACCGUGUUUCACCUUCCUGUCUCUAUUCAAUGUAACCAUGGGGCAGCGUCCAUGUGUGUUUAGAUCUCCCUGCUACAGGAUCAUGCGGUUGUUCUCUCUAUAUGGAACAAACGGCAAUACAUACUGUAGGCUGUUAAUAAGGCAGGAGACAAUGACAGGAUCUUUUUACAGGGCAUGCCAGGUUGAAACAGAAGCCAUGCUAAGCCAGGAGCCUGACAACCAGGCCAGGAGCAGCCUGUAGUAUGCUAUAUUCACCAGCCAGUCGGAGAGAGGGGCUUCCUAGCUUUCUGAAUGACUCUCCCAUUAACACUGUUUUAAUAUUAAAGUAAAGGGUGGAAAAAGAUUAUUGCAAUAUUAAUGAGAGUGUGAACAUAAUCCCAAUUGAACUAUGAAAAGGGCCCACCCUGUGCUCCUUUGUCAAACCCACUGACAACGCCUACAUCCUCAACUGCCUUGCCCUCUACAUCACCUACUCAUUGGGUCUGGAGAUGAGGAUGUAAGGCAAUAAGUCUCAUUAUUGUACUGUACAUUACUGUCAAGUGCACAUUCUAUCACUCCAUCAGUUCACUGUCUGAUAACUGCUUUCUGUUCCUCUCUCGCUCAUGCCCUCACUCUCUCUGUUUAUCGCUCUGCUUUAUUUUCCCCACUCACAGCUGUACUGACCAAUAGGUGCUAUGGUUAUGCUGGUCUGGUGUUGGCCUGUGGGGGAUGGCAAUCAUCUACUGGAUCAAUGACUGUUUCGGAUGCAUCCUCUGGCAAAAGCUCAACUUGUGCUAUCUGCAUGGCAUCUGGUAAAAGCACAUUCUGAUUGUGACCGCUGUAGCCUACCCAAGCACCCUGAUAGCCUACUUGGAUGCCAACUAUGAGAUGCCAGGCCUUCAGUACUGGCCCAGUGAUAACUGUGUCCUGGGCUUGCCUUACAUCGUCCUGAAAGGAACCACCAAGACUCAGAAAAGAUGUUAGAGAACGUUCAACUUCUCCAAGAGACAACCUGAUGGCUUUGGUGAUGAAAUGUGCUAUGUAGUGCCGUGCAAGGAAAAGUGUCAAAUGCAGUGCCUUUCUUUUUACUUAGCAGUGACUCCGUUUUGAGAAAUGGUUGCAAUUCAUAAGAUUGCUCCUUAUUUGAUAUGAUAACAGAAUCAAUGCCACUCAGGUCAUCAAGUCCGAUGUUUGCAUAUUAUGUUUAGUGUGCACAUGUUAAAGAAUUAAACAAUAAUUAAUGUGUGUAUGUUUUUAUAUGCAUUUUGUGGGAAUUGAUCAAUGCACUCAUCUGUUAUUUGCGUCCAUAUAUGCAUGGAUAUUCUCUCCACAUGUUUUUAUAAAACAAUUUUGUGUAUAUCUGUGUUUCGGUAUAAUAACAUGCUUGUCUUUGUAGUGAUGAGAAUGGAGAUUAUUUCAACCCCCAAAAUACAGCUUUGCUUAGAUGUAGGGCUGAAUCACAACCACAACAUUUUAGGGGUAAAGGGCUUGUAGAGUUUGCUUAUAUAACCUACAACUUUACAUUUGUCAUCCUUUUCAGGGAUAAUAUCAUUAUGUGUGAUCUGAACUAAACUAAGUUUAAGACAUUUUAUACAACCACAUAAACAUAAAUGUUUGUCUUGGUUUAGAGAUCUUAAGACGUAAGUAUUUUAUGAUGUUAUUACAGAAAAUGUAAGGACCAUGUCAAUGUUUGUUAUGUGUGGGAUUCUACAUCUAUGAGAUCAAUUAAAUGUGUAUAUGAAUAAGAUUAACGGUUACUGAAUUAAAUUCUAUGAUGAAUUUGAGACGUUUCUAAAUAUACAGAAAAAAUAUAUAAACCCAACAUGUAAAGUGUU